This 90-nucleotide transfer RNA is filed under the name Chloroflexota bacterium. RNAcentral describes it as "Chloroflexi bacterium tRNA-Ser". It matches the Rfam family "tRNA". From Rfam's summary of the family: Transfer RNA (tRNA) molecules are approximately 80 nucleotides in length. Their secondary structure includes four short double-helical elements and three loops (D, anti-codon, and T loops). RNAcentral also lists the same sequence under 1 other name. The record is from RNAcentral. Lineage: Bacteria; Bacillati; Chloroflexota.
GGAAAGAUGACAGAGUGGACGAAUGUGCGCGACUGCUAAUCGCGUGAGCCUGCAAAGGUUCCGAGGGUUCGAAUCCCUCUCUUUCCGCCA